CCUACGGGAGGCAGCAGUGGGGGAUAUUGCACAAUGGGGGAAACCCUGAUGCAGCGACGCCGCGUGAGUGAAGAAGUAUUUCGGUAUGUAAAGCUCUAUCAGCAGGGAAGAAAAAAGACGGUACCUGACUAAGAAGCCCCGGCUAACUACGUGCCAGCAGCCGCGGUAAUACGUAGGGGGCACGCGUUAUCCGGAUUUACUGGGUGUAAGGGGAGCGUAGACGGCAAUACAGGGCGGUAGUGAAAUACCGGGGCUGAACCGGGAUACUGCUGGGAAAACUGUAGGGGUAGAGUGGAGGAGGGGUAGGCGAAAUUCGGGGUGUAGCGGGAAAUGGCUUAGAUAUAAAGAGGAAC
RNAcentral lists this ribosomal RNA (353 nucleotides) under uncultured bacterium. RNAcentral's name for it is "partial 16S ribosomal RNA". It matches the Rfam family "Bacterial small subunit ribosomal RNA", at positions 338 to 707 of the family's 1533-position model. The record is from RNAcentral.